AGGACGAACGCUGGCGGCGUGCUUAACACAUGCAAGUCGAGCGAUGAAGUCCUUCGGGGACGGAUUAGCGGCGGACGGGUGAGUAACACGUGGGUAACCUGCCUCAUAGAGGGGAAUAGCCUUUCGAAAGGAAGAUUAAUACCGCAUAAGAUUGUAGUUUCGCAUGAAACAGCAAUUAAAGGAGUAAUCCGCUAUGAGAUGGACCCGCGUCGCAUUAGCUAGUUGGUGAGGUAACGGCUCACCAAGGCGACGAUGCGUAGCCGACCUGAGAGGGUGAUCGGCCACAUUGGGACUGAGACACGGCCCAGACUCCUACGGGAGGCAGCAGUGGGGAAUAUUGCACAAUGGGGGAAACCCUGAUGCAGCAAACCGCCGCGUGAGUGAUGACGGUCUUCGGAUUGUAAAGCUCUGUCUUCAGGGACGAUAAUGACGGUACCUGAGGAGGAAGCCACGGCUAACUACGUGCCAGCCGCAGC
This 476-nucleotide ribosomal RNA is filed under the name uncultured bacterium. RNAcentral's name for it is "bacterial SSU rRNA". It matches the Rfam family "Bacterial small subunit ribosomal RNA", at positions 26 to 518 of the family's 1533-position model. The record is from RNAcentral.